This 2205-nucleotide long non-coding RNA is filed under the name Homo sapiens (human). RNAcentral's name for it is "non-protein coding lnc-NLRP3-4:1". Lineage: Eukaryota; Metazoa; Chordata; Mammalia; Primates; Hominidae. The record is from RNAcentral.
UAUUUUUUUCUGUGAAAGGUGUUGUGACAGUCAUUAUAUUUAUAAUUCUUUAGUUCAAUAUGAACUCUGGUCCUGAGUAAGACAUGAGCAGGUAUUAAAGGCUUUGCCACAUUUUUUACAUUUGUAGGAUUUUUCUCAGGUAUGAAUUUUCUCAGGUACAUUGAGGUCUGAGCAGUGGUUAAAGGUUUUGCCACAUUCUUCAGAUUUGUAGCAUUUCUCUCUUGUAUGAAUUCUCUUAUGGUUUGAAAGGCUUGAACAAGAUAUAAAGACUUUACCACAUUCUUCACAUUUAUAGGGCUUCUCUCCAGUAUGAAUUCUUUUAUGUUCAGUAAGGUGUGAGCACCGGUUAAAAGCUUUGCCACAUUCUUCACAUUUGUAGGGUUUCUCUCCAGUAUGAAUUCUCUUAUGUUUAGUGAGGUUUGAACACUGGUUAAAAGCUUUGCCACAUUCAUCACAUUUGUAGGGUUUCUCUCCAGUAUGAAUUCUUUUAUGUAGAGUUAGGUAUGAGAACCAGUUAAAGGCUUUGCCACAUUCUUCACAUUUAUGGGGUUUCUGUCCAGUGUGAAUUUUCUUAUGUUUGGCAUGGUUUGAACUGUGGUUAAAAGCUUUGCCACAUUCUUCACAUUUAUAGAUUCUUUACAGUUGGAAGAUAUCUCUCCAGUAUGUCUUAUCUUAUGUCUAUUUAGAUUUGACGAUUUACUAAAGACUUUCACACAUUUAUUAAAUUGAAAGAUUUUGGUAUGUGUAGUUGAUAAAGAUUGGUUAAGUCCAUUACAACAUUCUUUCUGCACCUUAGAUUCACCCACACUUUCCCAAUCUUUCUUUAAUUGUAAAUUCUCAAUGCCAUAGCUUCCAUAUCUUCUCAGUAUCACUUUUUGAAAUGAAUCUUUUAUACCAUGCUCUGGCAAGAGGUCUUGGGUGAAAUGAGAAGAAACAGUUGUACACAAUACUUACACACUUUUUAUUUGUGAAAAAAUCCAUGUUACACACAUGUACAUAUAUACACAAAUGUAUACACACCAACAUAUAUAUGAAUAACAGUUCCGGUCAUUCCAAACAAAAUUAUAAAAUUACAGUUAUUAUAAACUAAGGUAGCAAGUGGAAGUUAAACAUAUGCUGAGCACUGCUCUAAGCUACCCAAAUACACAGCAUAUUUAAGAAAUCUAGGAAGCUGAUACGGUUUGGCUGUGCCCCCACCCAAAUCUCAACUUAAAUUGCAUCUCCCAGAAUUCCCACGUGCUGUGGGAGGGACCCAGAGGGAGGUAAUUGAAUCAUGGGGGCCAGUCUUUCCCGUGCUAUUCUCAUGAUAGUAAAUAAGUCUCAUGGGAUCUGAUGGCUUUCUCAAGGGUUUCUGCUGUUGCUUCUUCCUCAUUUUCUCUUGCUGCUGAGGCCUCCCCAGCCAUGUGGAAAUAGUUAAGUCCAGUUAAACCUCUUUUUCUUCCCAGUCUCAGGUACGUCUUUGUUAGCAGUGUGAAAACUGACUAAUACAGAAGUGAACAGAUACACUAAACCACACUACAGUUGAGAAUUUGGGGCAGAGUUUAAAUUACCAUCAGUUUCAGACAAUAAACAUGUCACAUUAUUUCCGUAAUUCAAAUCAUUCAGUAAACAAUCACAUAUGAACAUAUCUAGGAGAUGCCAAGUCCCAUCUUGUAAAAUUCAGUAUUAAACUCAGACAUCUAGAUAAUAGAGAUAUCAACUCCACAAGUCCUCUACCCUGCAAAAAAGAGGAACUAAUAUUUUGAUGAAGCAAUGUAAUUCACCAAUUAAUCUACUACUUUUUUUGUGGAAAUGUAUUCAUUUCCUAUAGCCAUACUGGAAGAGGAUUUUCCCUAUUACUUUCCCUGGUAGCAUUCCCACAGCUACGCCCUGGGAUUCUGUUUAAAAUCACCCCUAAAAAGGAACAGGCCUGACAAACUUACUAUACUCUAGGGAAGAAAAAGGUAAAUCAGAAUUUUUAACAAGUGAAUAUUUGACUAUAUAUGUAAUGUCUUUUCUGAAAUCCACCUCUUAAACAUUUUCUUACCUUUGAAACUCUACUGUUAAAAUGCAAUUGACAGUUAAUAAAAAACUAAGGUUGAAUUAAGUGAAAAAAAUGUUUCAAGGUGUAAAACCCAGGAAGUGGCAAUGCUGAUUGGAACACAGACAAAUCUGACUCAAGUGCCAAGUCAGGCCGUCCUAUCACUUGGGACCUUCCUCUGUUUC